RNAcentral lists this ribosomal RNA (253 nucleotides) under uncultured bacterium. Its description in RNAcentral is "partial small subunit ribosomal RNA". It matches the Rfam family "Bacterial small subunit ribosomal RNA", at positions 26 to 285 of the family's 1533-position model. The record is from RNAcentral.
AGGACGAACGCUGGCGGCGUGCUUAACACAUGCAAGUCGAGCGGAAAGGCCCUUCGGGGUACUCGAGCGGCGAACGGGUGAGUAACACGUGAGCAACCUGCCCUUAGCUCCGGGAUAGCUCCGGGAAACCGGAAUUAAUACCGGAUACGACUGCUACGGACAUCUGUGGUGGUGGAAAGAACUUCGGCUAGGGAUGAGCUCGCGGCCUAUCAGCUUGUUGGUGGGUAACGGCCUACCAAGGCGACGACGGGUA